AAUAGAUACCCAGGUAGUCCACGCCGUAAACGUUGGAUACUAGGUGUGGCGGUCUUACCAACGACUGCCGUGCCGAAGCUAACGCAUUAAGUAUCCCGCCUGGGGAGUACGGCCGCAAGGCUAAAACUCAAAGGAAUUGACGGGUCCCCGCACAAGCGGCGGAGCAUGCGGCUUAAUUCGAUGCAACCCGAAGAACCUUACCUGGGUUUGACAUCACGGGAAAAGCUGUAGAAAUACAGUGUCCGUAAGGGCCCGUGACAGGUGGUGCAUGGCUGUCGUCAGCUCGUGUCGUGAGAUGUUGGGUUAAGUCCCGCAACGAGCGCAACCCUUGUCCUAUGUUGCCAGCAGUUCGGCUGGGGACUCGUAGGAGACUGCCGGGGUAUAACUCGGAGGAAGGUGAGGACGACGUCAAGUCAUCAUGCCCCGUUAUAUCCAGGGCUGCACGCAUGCUACAAUGGCCGGUACAACGGGUCAGCGACCCCGGCGAGGGUUGAGCGAAUCCGUAUAAACGCCGGUUCCCAGUUCGGAUUGAAGUCUGCAACUCGACUUC
Molecule: ribosomal RNA, 550 nt
Filed under: uncultured bacterium
Lineage: Bacteria
Description: bacterial SSU rRNA
Rfam family: Bacterial small subunit ribosomal RNA
Source: RNAcentral